Molecule: ribosomal RNA, 468 nt
Filed under: uncultured bacterium
Lineage: Bacteria
Description: partial 16S ribosomal RNA
Rfam family: Bacterial small subunit ribosomal RNA
Source: RNAcentral
GACGAACGCUGGCGGCGUGCUUAACACAUUCAAGUCGAACGGAAAGGCCCUGCUUUUGUGGGGUGCUCGAGUGGCGAACGGGUGAGUAACACGUGAGUAACCUGCCCUUGACUUUGGGAUAACUUCAGGAAACUGGGGCUAAUACCGGAUCGGAGCUCCUGUUGCAUGGUGGGGGUGGGAAAGUUUCGGCGGUUGGGGAUGGACUCGCGGCUUAUCAGCUUGUUGGUGGGGUAGUGGCUUACCAAGGCUUUGACGGGUAGCCGGCCUGAGAGGGUGACCGGCCACAUUGGGACUGAGAUACGGCCCAGACUCCUACGGGAGGCAGCAGUGGGGAAUAUUGCACAAUGGGCGGAAGCCUGAUGCAGCAACGCCGCGUGCGGGAUGACGGCCUUCGGGUUGUAAACCGCUUUCGCCUGUGACGAAGCGUGAGUGACGGUAAUGGGUAAAGAAGCACCGGCUAACUACGUG